RNAcentral lists this long non-coding RNA (603 nucleotides) under Brachypodium distachyon (stiff brome). RNAcentral describes it as "long non-coding RNA (BDIS_LNC001909)". Lineage: Eukaryota; Viridiplantae; Streptophyta; Magnoliopsida; Poales; Poaceae. The record is from RNAcentral.
CGGACUCUACAAUUUGGAAAUUCAAUAGAAAUGGAGCGUAUUCUGCUAGCUCUGCCUAUGCGUUGCAAUUCUAUGGAAGAAUCAAUCAGUCCCUCCUUGUUAACGUUUGGAAGAUUAUGGCUGAGAGGAAGAUCCAAUUUUUUUCAUUGGUUGGUGCUUUAGAAGAGAAUCUGGACGGCUGAUCGUCUGGCUGCGAGGGGAUGGGCCUCACGACACGCUUUGCUGCUUUUGAUGGGCCUCAGGUUCUGAAAAAUAUUGAUCAUAGUGUUGGGUCUUGCCCCUGUUUUUUCUUUUCUUUUUGGUUGAAUUCUCUUUGUAUCAUGUACUCCUCUUCCACUUAAUUGAAAAGCAGUGCUCCUCAUAAUUCGUCAAAAAUAUUUGUUCAUUUUCUCUCGCCUCCACCGCUAGAAUUUUCCUCUUCGCCAUCCGUGCAGCUUUUCUCUUCCGACCAACUAAAAGGCAAUAUUUUGAUUGUAUUUUGCUAAAAGGUGUUCGUAUGUAAGGAUGCACAAGACAGGGAAAAAAAAUAAAGACACAUUUUUGUAUAUUGCGAGCAUUCGAGCCAGGCAUACUACAUACUCCCUCGAUACUAGAUUAACUGAC